AGGUUAAUGAAUAACCUCUAAAGGAAGUUACUUCACAUAAUGACAGCAAUUUCUCUGAACUAAAUGUUAAUUAAUAAGGCCUGUAAUACUAUGAGAAGGAAAUGGUGGCAAUUGGCAAAUGGAACUCUGUUGCUUGGUAACAAAACCUGAGAAAUAAUCAAAACCCUCUGCACUCACUCAGAAGUGUCCAUAAGUCCUGUUCAAGUAAUCUUAAAAGAGACUGUUCCAAUAUUCGAUCUGCCUCGUUCAACAAGGCAAAAAGGUGAGGAAGCAGAGAAUUAUUUUUGAAUGGCUACUGCUUAAAGAGUUGCCUGCGUGAGGUUUGGUGGCAAGAAGCAGAAGUCAGAGCCUGUGGUUCCUGUUGCUCUUCGGCGGUAUGAAAGAGAGAAGAAGGCGUGCUUCAUUAUAUGAAGCUUUGCUCCUAAGGUACAACUCUUGUAGACCUCCCGGACUCACCCAAUUUCCUCAUAGGCUUUUGCAUUAUCUUAAAAGAUGUUUCCCUUAGUAAUAUGGAGGAGACAAAAUCAAUAAUGUGCAAUACAUUUAAUCAACACGAAAACCUGAUUCUAUCAGGAGAACAGAUUAAAGGAGUCUUGCUUAGACUCCAGGGUAAUUGACAGUUUUUCUGCCUUAUAUGUGGAAUGAUUAUAACAAGUUGUAAUUCAGAUAAUGAACUUCUUAAUGCAGGAAGUUCUUCAUUCAGGAAAUAGAAGUUGGUGAAAUUGAAACAAAUUUAUUAAGUAAAUAAAGGGAAAAGCACAAAAUACUUAGUGGCUAGAGUAUUAUCAAUUGUAAAGAAGAUUUGGAAUAGAACAGUUAGGGAGCUAUAAUUCUUCAGUUUUUAUACUGUUCUACCACUCUAGUAUGUUGCUAUAAUUCUCUGAAUUAAUUUUUUUAAAAAUACAACAGCUGUCUGGAGAAACCAAUUUGAUCUCACUUUUAUUUUAUUUUUUAAAUGCAUUUGAUUAUGUAUAUUUGAGGUUUACAACAUAGUGUUAUGGGAUACAUAUAGUAGUAAAAUGGUUACUAUAGUGAAGCAGACUAACAUAUCUAUCAUCUCACAUAGUUACUUUUUUGUGACAAGAACAGCUAAAAUCUACUUAUUUAAUAAAAAUCUCCAAUACAGUAUAAUUUUACUAACUUUAUUACUCAUGUUGUACAUUGGCUCUCUAAACUGCUUUGUGCUGCUAUUUUGAUCGCUUGACCUACAUUGCCCCCAUUUCCUUUCCCUCCCACCCUGCUCCACAUCCCCACCCCCAUCCCACCCAUGGUAACCACUGUUUUGUUCUCUGUAUCUGUGUAUUUGAGCUCUUUUUAAAUAUGUAUAUAUUCUACAUAAAGGUGAGAUUAUAUAAUAUUUUUCUUUCUGUGUCUGGUUUCUUUCACUUAGCAUAAUGUCCUCCAGGUCAUAUUGUGGUAAAUGGCAGAAUCUCCUUUUUAAGGUUGAAU
This 1449-nucleotide long non-coding RNA is filed under the name Homo sapiens (human). RNAcentral describes it as "HSALNT0077222". The record is from RNAcentral. Lineage: Eukaryota; Metazoa; Chordata; Mammalia; Primates; Hominidae.